Molecule: ribosomal RNA, 714 nt
Filed under: Triticum aestivum (bread wheat)
Lineage: Eukaryota; Viridiplantae; Streptophyta; Magnoliopsida; Poales; Poaceae
Description: partial small subunit ribosomal RNA
Source: RNAcentral
AUGAACCCAGCAAAGAAGCGGAUGGUCAUGGACGACCUGGACGACUUCCGCGACAGCCGGGACUACUACCGCCGCAUCGGCAAGGCGUGGAAGCGCGGCUACCUCCUCUACGGGCCGCCGGGCACAGGCAAGUUCUCCAUGGUCGCCGCCAUGGCCAACCACCUCAACUACGACGUCUACGACGUCGAUCUCGCCUCCGUGCACACCAACGGCGACCUCCGCAAGCUCUUCGCCGAGACCACGCGAAGCUUCAUGGACGGGCUGUGGUCGGCGCACGGCGGCGAGCGGAUCAUCGUGGUCACCACCAACUGGUCCCGCGCGCUCGACGAUCCGGCGCUGGCCCGGCGGGGGAGGAUGGACGUGCACAUCGAGAUGAGCUACUGCGAGUUUGGGGCGUUCAUGACGCUCGCCAAGAACUACCUCGGCGUGGACGCGCACCCUCUCUUCUACGCCGUGGAGGAGCUGCUGCGGGUGGCGGACAUGACGCCCGCGGACGUCGCCGAGUGCCUGAUGUCGCGCUCCGAGCGCGCCGCCCGCGGCGAUGCCGAUGCAUGCCUCGCGCGCUUGGUUGACGAGCUCAAGAGGAAGGCCGUCGUGGGGAAGACGGCGGUCAAGGAGAAACUUGUAUUGUUACCGGGAAAGGAGGAGAGUGAGAAUCAGGCGUCUGUGACAGGAAAAGGCGGGGAAGCCACGGCCGACGGAAAAACUAGCUAG